AGUAGGAAAAUCUGAUUUUUAACAGCUGAUUUCUAUCUCUUUUCCAGUAUAUAAACAGACCAAAAAGGAAAGAAGCCACAAAAAUAGGAGAUAGAAGCCAAACCUCUGUCUUCAACCUCUAGAAGAACAAAAGCAAUAAAAAGAAGAAGAUUCACAUCUACUAACAAGAAAGAAUUGGAAGAAUUCAAAGUUUUUAGAAUAAAAAUUCAGAAAUCCUAUUUCCCUUUGAACAGAGGAUACUUGAACUGCAAAUACUACUCCCAGAGAUUCAAGUACAUCAACAAUAUAUGUUAG
Molecule: long non-coding RNA, 294 nt
Filed under: Vulpes vulpes (red fox)
Lineage: Eukaryota; Metazoa; Chordata; Mammalia; Carnivora; Canidae
Description: lncRNA (ENSVVUG00000007110.1)
Source: RNAcentral